Long non-coding RNA from Hemicordylus capensis (graceful crag lizard), 777 nucleotides. RefSeq lists it as uncharacterized. Lineage: Eukaryota; Metazoa; Chordata; Lepidosauria; Squamata; Cordylidae. The transcript is spliced from 3 exons. The record is from RefSeq and is a predicted model, not a curated record.
AGAGGAAGGCUGCGAGAGAAAGCUGUUGUGAGGCAGGAGAGGAGACACUGCAUGAAAUAAAGGCAAUGAACCUGCCUGCCUGCUCUGGUCUUUAAUGGAGGUCCUGCUCCCAUGGAUGUCUGCCAGAAUGUUUUGAGGGCUGCUGGAGGUGGUGUCCAUACAAACAAAUGUGUACCGAAAAUAGUGAAUAGAAAUCUAAUCCAGCUAUGAACUGGGAUGGACACCCAUGUUGGCUCCAUGGGCCACUGAAGCCCAGUUGCAGGGAACAUGAGACCAGACCUUCUCUGUUGCCUGACCCCAGGAGAUGGGCAUCACCACAGGAUUCAACCUCUCUGUUGACAUCCGAAGCACAGAAGCCAAGAUGAACUGGGCUUUUAUGAGACACCACUCUUGCAGCCAAAGCUUGGCUACUUCAGGAGAAACCCGCCUUUGUCCAGGCUGGUUCACUGCCCCUACAAUUCCUGACUUGUUCUGAAAGCACUAAAGAAAAGCUUCCAUCUCGGCUUCUCUUGUGGCUGGUGGUGCUCAAUACAGCCAACUCGCUCAACACGUCUCCAUUGGGUUCCUGAUCCCAGUCAGUGACAGGAAGAAAAUGUGUGACCACUGCCAGCAACUGAAAGAACCUUUCCUUCCUUCAGAAGCCAAAGAAAAACCUGUCCUUGGGAAAUGCUGCCCCAAGCUGGCCAUGUUGGGAAUGGGCACAAAUACAUGCAUAUAAACCAGGGGUUCUCCAACUUGGAUCCCCGCGUGGGGUUGCACUACAACUCCCAUCAUCCU